CCUUCCCCGACCACAGACCCUGGUAUGUCUUGUUCCCCUCUCUGUCUACGUGUUCUCAUUGUUCAACGCGCUACAGAGGUGUCUCCUAACACUCUGCACUUGCAGGGCUUCUCCUGCCGCCUGGAACAAUCUCCUUCCAGGUGCUGCCCUCACUUGCUCCUUUAUCUCCUUCAGGUUUUUGUUUAGACGUCAUCUUCCCUGAUCACCUCAUUUAAAACUGCACACUUCACCCUCAGCCUGGACCCCGUGCUCCAUUCCUGCUUUCUUUUAUCACCACCUGACACCCAAUAUAUUUUACUUAUUUAUUUUCUGUCCCCACCCAUAGAAUGUAAACUACACAAAGGCAGGCUUUUGUUGGUUUUGCUCAUGUAGAGUAGUGGUUGGCAUGUUGUAGGUGCUGGAUAAAUAUUUGUUGAAUGAAUGAGUGAGCAUGACACCACCCUCAUGCUCCUC
This 453-nucleotide long non-coding RNA is filed under the name Homo sapiens (human). RNAcentral's name for it is "HSALNT0016227". The record is from RNAcentral. Lineage: Eukaryota; Metazoa; Chordata; Mammalia; Primates; Hominidae.